RNAcentral lists this unclassified non-coding RNA (359 nucleotides) under soil metagenome. Its description in RNAcentral is "partial contains 5.8S ribosomal RNA, internal transcribed spacer 2, and large subunit ribosomal RNA". The stretch from base 1 to 120 matches the Rfam family "5.8S ribosomal RNA", at positions 35 to 154 of the family's 154-position model. The record is from RNAcentral.
GAUGAAGAACGUAGCGAAAUGCGAUACGUAAUGUGAAUUGCAGAAUUCAGUGAAUCAUCGAGUCUUUGAACGCACAUUGCGCCCCCUGGUAUUCCGGGGGGCAUGCCUGUCCGAGCGUCAUUGCUGCCCAUCAAGCGCGGCUUGUGUGUUGGGCCGCCGUCCGCCUUCCCCCCCGGGGGGAGGGGGACGGGCCCGAAAGGCAGCGGCGGCACCGCGUCCGGUCCUCGAGCGUAUGGGGCUCUGUCACCCGCUCUGGAGGCCCGGCCGGCGCCCGCCGACCCCCAACCUUCUUCUAACCAGGUUGACCUCGGAUCAGGUAGGGAUACCCGCUGAACUUAAGCAUAUCAAUAAGCGGAGGA